UCGUGCAGCCCUAUUGCCCACUGAAGCUAAGAAGGGUUGAGCUGGUCAGUAGCUGGAUGGGAGACCUCCUGGGGAAACUAGGUUGCUGCUGGAA
This 94-nucleotide ribosomal RNA is filed under the name Sinocyclocheilus rhinocerous. Lineage: Eukaryota; Metazoa; Chordata; Actinopteri; Cypriniformes; Cyprinidae. The record is from RNAcentral.